Photinus pyralis (common eastern firefly) is the source of this 1399-nucleotide RNA transcript. RefSeq lists it as uncharacterized. NCBI's taxonomy places the organism in Eukaryota, Metazoa, Arthropoda, Insecta, Coleoptera, Lampyridae. The record is from RefSeq and is a predicted model, not a curated record. The transcript has 5 exons.
UAAUCAAUGCUAUGGUAGUAUUGAGGAAAGAAGUCGUUUACGUCAUAACACAUUUUAUCAAGUUAUUACAACCCAGAAUCAUUACUUCUUUGUUGGAUUGAAAGCAUAAGACAGAGAUACACAAUACUUACUCUGCUUCGUGAACUUCAUGGGUGACGUAUUCGAAUUCUUUCUUGAAUGCUAGACUAUAUACUACAACGAAUAUUAUGCCGAAGAAAAAAGGAGAUAGUAGUUAGUUCUAUCUUCGGUUAUUCCACAGAGUAAAGUGCGUGCUUUGUAAUGCGUACUUUUUUCUUUGAAUGUGGAAUGUCAGCUGUUGAAUUUAGAGGGAAAAUGUUCAUCAUGAUCACAACUAUUUUCAUAAGGAUGUGAACUCAAGAAUUUCAAUUGAGCCUCCCAAUCCGGUUGCAAAUCCUACAUCACAUGAUAUUGAUGUACAGUCAAAAAGUGUGGCCCUUGAUCAUGAUUAUGAUGGUAAUGGGUUAGGAAAUAAGUCGCCACAAGAUUUGUCGUUGGAAGCAACACCAGGUACUGAGACAAUUCAAGCUCACCCAGAAUCUGACUCGCUAGAGGUGCUUCAUGAAUUCUCAUUUAUAGAUAAAGAAGAGUAUGAUGAUGUUUUGUUGCAUGAAAUGGAGGUCGAGAUUCAUCCUAAACCUUCUAUAAUAACAGGACAUAGAAUUGUUGAUUUGCAACACGUUUUAAAUUAGGCAUUGCAUUUACAAGUUGACCAUUCAAAGAAAUGUACCGGAGGUCAAUUGGAACCGAUACUAGAAGAGAGAAACGGCUUGGUUAGCACAAUAACCUUUAAAUGCAAUUAUUGCGGUUUUGAAAUAAAGCGGUGCACACAUCCUGGAAGAAAUUACGCAGUUCAAAACAUUAAUACGGCAGCUGUGUGGUCAACCAUUUCUGCUGGAAAUACUUUCAGUAACUUGCAGGAACGUCUAGCAAUUAUGAAUAUUCCUCCAUUGACCUAUAGUAUGUUCCAAAAAAUUGAAUGCUUUUUAAGCAAAGAGUGGGAAGAUCGUCUGUGGAUUUCUAUUGAAAAAGCAGGCAUAGAGGAGUAUGAUAUAGCUAUUUCAAAAGGACAAGUGGACGAAAAUGGUUUGGCAUGGGUUGUCGUGUACACAGAUUGCGGCUGGAGUCAACGGUCUUAUGGGCAUAGUUACAAUGCUUCGUCAGGAGUCGCUGUAAUAAUUGGGAAAGCAACUGGUAAAAUUUUAUUCUUGGGCGUGAGAAAUAAAUAUUGCUCAGUAUGUGCAAGAGCUAAGAAGGAAGAUGAAAUUAAAGAACACAUCUGUUACAAAAACUGGACGGCAUCAUCGGGGGCGAUGGAAUCUGAUAUUAUUGUCGAAGGGUUCAAUCACAGCAUUUCUAUGCACAAAAUUAAAUAUUUAAA